This 253-nucleotide ribosomal RNA is filed under the name uncultured bacterium. RNAcentral's name for it is "partial 16S ribosomal RNA". It matches the Rfam family "Bacterial small subunit ribosomal RNA", at positions 524 to 776 of the family's 1533-position model. The record is from RNAcentral.
UACAGAGGGGGCAAGCGUUGUUCGGAAUUACUGGGCGUAAAGGGCGCGUAGGCGGCGGAUCAAGUCAGGCGUGAAAUUCCUGGGCUUAACCUGGGGGCUGCGCUUGAGACUGAUGUGCUUGAGGAUGGCAGAGGCUCGUGGAAUUCCCAGUGUAGAGGUGAAAUUCGUAGAUAUUGGGAAGAACACCGGUGGCGAAGGCGGCGACCUGGACAGUAACUGACGCUGAGACGCGAAAGCGUGGGUAGCAAACAGG